ACAGUGGUUCUCCUCAGAACCAUUUAUUCAUAUACAAACAUGCCAU
Molecule: non-coding RNA, 46 nt
Organism: Otolemur garnettii (small-eared galago)
Lineage: Eukaryota; Metazoa; Chordata; Mammalia; Primates; Galagidae
Source: Rfam